AAAAACAUCGCCUCUUGACUUAUAAUAAGAGGUCCAGCCUGCCCAGUGAAUUUUUAACGGCCGCGGUAUCCUAACCGCGCGAAGGUAGCAUAAUCACUUGUUCUUUAAAUGGGGACUCGUAUCAACGGCAUCACGAGGGUUUUACUGUCUCCUCUUUUUGAUCAGUGAAAUUGAUCUUCCCGUGAAGAAGCGGGAAUAAUCCUAUAAGACGAGAAGACCCCAUGGAGCUUAAAACCAAAUAACAACUUAACCACUUACCCCACUAGAAAUUUAAGCCCUGUUAUAAGGUUUUUGGUUGGGGUGACCGCGGAGUAAAGAACAUCCUCCACGACGGAAAGAACACACUCUUUAUUUAAGAACCACAAUUCUAGAAAUUAGUAUACUAACGUUUACUGACCCGAUAAUCGAUCAACGGACCAAGUUACCCUGGGGAUAACAGCGCAAUCUACUUCAAGAGCUCAUAUCGACAAGUAGGCUUACGACCUCGAUGUUGGAUCAGGGUAUCCCGGUGGUGCAGCCGCUACCGAAGGUUCGUUUGUUCAACGAUUAAAACCCUACGUGAUCUGAGUUCA
Molecule: ribosomal RNA, 572 nt
Filed under: Polypedates leucomystax (Java whipping frog)
Lineage: Eukaryota; Metazoa; Chordata; Amphibia; Anura; Rhacophoridae
Description: partial 16S ribosomal RNA
Rfam family: Bacterial large subunit ribosomal RNA
Source: RNAcentral